GGGGAAUAUUGGACAAUGGGCGCAAGCCUGAUCCAGCCAUGCCGCGUGAGUGAUGAAGGCCUUAGGGUUGUAAAGCUCUUUCACCGAUGAAGAUAAUGACGGUAGUCGGAGAAGAAGCCCCGGCUAACUUCGUGCCAGCAGCCGCGGUAAUACGAAGGGGGCUAGCGUUGUUCGGAAUUACUGGGCGUAAAGCGCACGUAGGCUGACUUUUAAGUCAGGGGUGAAAUCCCGGGGCUCAACCUCGGAACUGCCUUUGAUACUGGAAGUCUUGAGUAUGGAAGAGGUAAGUGGAAUUGCGAGUGUAGAGGUGAAAUUCGUAGAUAUUCGCAGGAACACCAGUGGCGAAGGCGGCUUACUGGUCCAUUACUGACGCUGAGGUGCGAAAGCGUGGGGAGCAAA
Molecule: ribosomal RNA, 399 nt
Filed under: uncultured bacterium
Lineage: Bacteria
Description: bacterial SSU rRNA
Rfam family: Bacterial small subunit ribosomal RNA
Source: RNAcentral